GUUUUUGUAGUUGAAUAACAACGUCAGUUUUUCGUGCUGAGGGUUUUGGUGCGAUCCAAAUAAAAAUG
This 68-nucleotide transfer RNA is filed under the name Rieppeleon kerstenii. RNAcentral's name for it is "tRNA-Glu". It matches the Rfam family "tRNA". From Rfam's summary of the family: Transfer RNA (tRNA) molecules are approximately 80 nucleotides in length. Their secondary structure includes four short double-helical elements and three loops (D, anti-codon, and T loops). Lineage: Eukaryota; Metazoa; Chordata; Lepidosauria; Squamata; Chamaeleonidae. The record is from RNAcentral.